RNAcentral lists this ribosomal RNA (435 nucleotides) under uncultured bacterium. RNAcentral describes it as "partial 16S ribosomal RNA". It matches the Rfam family "Bacterial small subunit ribosomal RNA", at positions 29 to 507 of the family's 1533-position model. The record is from RNAcentral.
AACGAACGCUGGCGGCAUGCCUAACACAUGCAAGUCGAACGAUUGCCUUCGGGUGAUAGUGGCGCACGGGUGCGUAACGCGUGGGAAUCUGCCCUUAGGUUCGGAAUAACAGCUGGAAACGGCUGCUAAUACCGGAUGAUAUCGCGAGAUCAAAGAUUUAUCGCCUGAGGAUGAGCCCGCGUUGGAUUAGGUAGUUGGUGGGGUAAAGGCCUACCAAGCCGACGAUCCAUAGCUGGUCUGAGAGGAUGAUCAGCCACACUGGGACUGAGACACGGCCCAGACUCAUCCGGGAGGCAGAAGGGGGAAAUGUUGGAAAGGGGGCGCAAGCGUGACCAACCAAGGCCGGGGGAGUAAUAAGGGCCUUGGGUUAGAAAAGCUCUUUUCCCGGGAAAGAUAAUGCCUGUCCGGGGAGAAAAAGCCCCGGCUACCUCCGUC